UGAGACACGGCCCAGACUCCUACGGGAGGCAGCAGUAGGGAAUCUUCCGCAAUGGACGAAAGUCUGACGGAGCAACGCCGCGUGAGUGAUGAAGGUUUUCGGAUCGUAAAACUCUGUUGUUAGGGAAGAACAAGUAUCGUUCGAAUAGGGCGGUACCUUGACGGUACCUAACCAGAAAGCCACGGCUAACUACGUGCCAGCAGCCGCGGUAAUACGUAGGUGGCAAGCGUUGUCCGGAAUUAUUGGGCGUAAAGCGCGCGCAGGCGGUUUCUUAAGUCUGAUGUGAAAUCUUGCGGCUCAACCGCAAGCGGCCAUUGGAAACUGGGAGACUUGAGUGCAGAAGAGGAGAGUGGAAUUCCACGUGUAGCGGUGAAAUGCGUAGAGAUGUGGAGGAACACCAGUGGCGAAGGCGACUCUCUGGUCUGUAACUGACGCUGAGGCGCGAAAGCGUGGGGAGCGAACAGGAUUAGAUACCCUGGUAGUCCACGCCGUAAACGAUGAGUGCUAAGUGUUAGAGGGUUUCCGCCCUU
RNAcentral lists this ribosomal RNA (530 nucleotides) under Caryophanales bacterium. RNAcentral describes it as "bacterial SSU rRNA". It matches the Rfam family "Bacterial small subunit ribosomal RNA", at positions 320 to 840 of the family's 1533-position model. Lineage: Bacteria; Bacillati; Bacillota; Bacilli; Caryophanales. The record is from RNAcentral.